AACGUAGGGGACAAGCGUUAUCCGGAUUUACUGGGCGUAAAGCGCACGUAGGCAGUUUGAUAAGUUGGACGUGAAAGCUCCUGGCUUAACUGGGAGAGGUCGUACAAAACUGUCAGACUGGAGUCUGGAAGAGGAGAGCGGAAUUCCCGGUGUAGUGGUGGAAUGCGCAGAUAUCAGGAGGAACACCAAUAGCGAAGGCAGCUCGCUGGGACGUUACUGACACUGAGGCGCGAAAGCGUGGGGAGCGAACAGG
This 253-nucleotide ribosomal RNA is filed under the name uncultured bacterium. RNAcentral describes it as "partial 16S ribosomal RNA". It matches the Rfam family "Bacterial small subunit ribosomal RNA", at positions 524 to 776 of the family's 1533-position model. The record is from RNAcentral.